GAGAUAGCCGCGCGGGAGGAGGAAGGCAGGGAGGAGGGGAGUUCAAGAGGAGAACUCCCAUCUGCCUCAGCCUGCCACUGGACCAGGGAAACCACCCUCCAGGAAAAGGUAAGAACCUGGAGGGUGGCUAAAUGUAUGUCAGUAGGUCUGUCUGUGUGUGUAUGUCUGUGUGUAUGCCAGUAUGUCUGUGUGUGUGUGUCAGUGUGUGUGUCAGUAUGUCUGUGUGUGUGUGUGUGUCAGUAUGUCUGUGUGUGUGUGUGUGUGUCAGUAUGUCUGUGUGUAUGCCAGUAUGUCUGUGUGUGUGUGUGUCAGUAUGUCUGUGUGUAUGCCAGUAUGUCUGUGUGUGUGUAUGUAGGUAUGUCUCUGUGUGUGUGUGUACGUGUGUGUCAGUAUGUCUGCCAGGAUUUAUUUGUGUGUUAGUGUAUGUGUGUGUCAGUAUGUAUCUGUGAAUGUUUUAUUGUCUGUCUGUGUGUAUGUGCCAGUACGUCUGUCUGUGUGUAUGUCAGUAUGUCUGUGUGUGUG
Molecule: non-coding RNA, 522 nt
Organism: Pelobates cultripes (western spadefoot toad)
Lineage: Eukaryota; Metazoa; Chordata; Amphibia; Anura; Pelobatidae
Source: the annotation of a GenBank genome assembly